UACGUAGGCAGCAAGCGUUGUUCGGAGUUACUGGGCGUAAAGGGUGUGUAGGCGGUUCUCUAAGUUUGGUGUGAAAUCUCCCGGCUCAACUGGGAGGGUGCGCCGAAAACUGGGGGGCUAGAGUACUGGAUGGGAGAGUGGAAUUCCUGGUGUAGCGGUGAAAUGCGUAGAUAUCAGGAGGAACACCGGUGGCGAAGGCGGGUCUCUGGGCCGAAACUGACGCUGAGGAGCGAAAGCGUGGGGAGCGAACAGG
RNAcentral lists this ribosomal RNA (253 nucleotides) under uncultured bacterium. Its description in RNAcentral is "partial 16S ribosomal RNA". It matches the Rfam family "Bacterial small subunit ribosomal RNA", at positions 524 to 776 of the family's 1533-position model. The record is from RNAcentral.